This 72-nucleotide transfer RNA is filed under the name Oxynema acuminatum PCC 6304. RNAcentral's name for it is "tRNA-Gln (TTG) (tRNA-Gln-TTG-1-1)". It matches the Rfam family "tRNA". Rfam says of the family: Transfer RNA (tRNA) molecules are approximately 80 nucleotides in length. Their secondary structure includes four short double-helical elements and three loops (D, anti-codon, and T loops). RNAcentral also lists the same sequence under 13 other names. Lineage: Bacteria; Bacillati; Cyanobacteriota; Cyanophyceae; Oscillatoriales; Oscillatoriaceae. The record is from Rfam by way of RNAcentral.
UGGGGCGUCGCCAAGCGGUAAGGCACCUGGUUUUGGUCCAGGCAUCCGGAGGUUCGAAUCCUUCCGCCCCAG